ACCUACUUAACUCAGUGGUUAGAGUAUCGCUUUCAUACGGCGAGAGUCAUUGGUUCGAAUCCAAUAGCAGGUA
Molecule: transfer RNA, 73 nt
Filed under: Hymenophyllum polyanthos
Lineage: Eukaryota; Viridiplantae; Streptophyta; Polypodiopsida; Hymenophyllales; Hymenophyllaceae
Also listed under: 2 other names
Description: tRNA-Met
Rfam family: tRNA
About the family: Transfer RNA (tRNA) molecules are approximately 80 nucleotides in length. Their secondary structure includes four short double-helical elements and three loops (D, anti-codon, and T loops).
Source: RNAcentral